Lolium perenne is the source of this 552-nucleotide long non-coding RNA. RefSeq lists it as uncharacterized. NCBI's taxonomy places the organism in Eukaryota, Viridiplantae, Streptophyta, Magnoliopsida, Poales, Poaceae. The record is from RefSeq and is a predicted model, not a curated record.
UGGUGAGUAUUUGUAGAACAGAGCUAAUGCACCACAUGAGAACUAACUGCACUCACUUAAUUUCAUCGAUCGUAAGAAGAGGGAACACUAAUUUCCCAUUUGUUGCAGCUGAGUCAGCGGCUUGAUUGGAAAAAAAAAACUUGAUUCAUAUAUUGUUUUCUCUCAGGAUUAACAUGGGGUUCCAAGGAAGCCGCAAAUUAGUAAAAUUUUGAUCCUUGCAGUUUGAUUAGUAUACAGGAUAUCCACUUUCUAGCACAUUAACAUCAUGUUUCUAUUUUCUAUAACAUCAGUUGCAGCUGAAGAAUCAGGAUUGUGUUGUGAUCAUGGAAGGUUUCAAAGCUAGUGGACCGAGCGUCUAAAUUUGGCACAUAUUUCCCUUUAUAUUUGUUCAAGAUAAGAAAAUAAUCAUUGAAAUAAACUUUGCAUCUAUUUAAAUUGGUUGUAUGCUUACUUCAAGCACACAUGUUUUUUGUAACGGACACAUACAUUGUCCUAUCUGAAGUAAGGAAAUCAACCUUGAAUUAUGUGCUUAGAGCAAGGAAAUCAACUUUU